Molecule: ribosomal RNA, 390 nt
Filed under: uncultured archaeon
Lineage: Archaea
Description: bacterial SSU rRNA
Rfam family: Archaeal small subunit ribosomal RNA
Source: RNAcentral
AUAGGCGAAAGCCUGACAGGGUUACUCUGAGUGAUGCCCGCUAAGGGUAUCUUUUGACACCUCUAAAAAUGGUGUAGAAUAAGGGGUGGGCAAGUCUGGUGUCAGCCGCCGCGGUAAUACCAGCACCCCGAGUGGUCGGGACGAUUAUUGGGCCUAAAGCAUCCGUAGCCGGUUCCGCAAGUCUUCCGUUAAAUCCACCUGCUCAACAGAUGGGCCGCGGAGGAUACCGCGGAGCUAGGAGGCGGGAGAGGCAAACGGUACUCAGUGGGUAGGGGUAAAAUCCAUUGAUCCACUGAAGACCACCAGUGGCGAAGGCGGUUUGCCAGAACGCGCUCGACGGUGAGGGAUGAAAGCUGGGGGAGCAAACCGGAUUAGAUACCCGUGUAGUCC